GGAAAUCAAAGAUGAUUAAUUGAUUAAUGUUUUAAAGCAGAGAUGAUUUGCUAAACAGCAAGUAAAUACCAAAUUUCAUCGCAGGUUAAUGCAUUAAAAUAUAGGUGAAGCCGAAACAUUCCCCCGGCCGUGGCAGCAUUGACAUCGCGAUGGAAAUGAUUGACAAUAUAAUACAUGUGUCGAUCAACUCCGGAUUGUGUAAUUGCGUUUUCAUAAUUAAUUAUUUAAAAAUGUAAUGUGUUGAAUCUAACGAAUUAUUUUGUGAAGCGGCAAGAUGACAAUUACGUUUUUUUUUUUGAAAUUUUAAUAAUUGGUGUUGCUAUUACUGCUAUUGCUAGCACGCUGUUGUCAUUAAAUUUUGAAAGUGCAGAAUACGAAGCCGUUUUAAAAUGAUUUAUAUAAGGCUACUCGUUCCAGUGAUGCUUUCCAGUUAAAUGAGUUAAAGCAGGGAUUAGUAAUUGUGAUGACUGGUGAUAGGUAUGUGGAUAAAUGCUGAAAACAUGCUGGCAUGUGAGUGAACGCUACUGCUGCUGAUUUGUUGACUGCAUUUGAUGAUGUUCGUUAUGUUGAUAGUCGGUGGCUAUGCGAACAUAAAUUAGUGAACGAUGAGUCUUUGUAUAUGUGAAUGAUGCUGGGUUCCGUUGCAAUCGCCUUUGAACAUCGUUGGUAACUAAUAGUGUGUAAAUUGGUAACUUAAAGAUUUAGUAGUCGUUCCAAAAAGUUGAUCUUAUAUUGUUUCUGCAUUUAGGCCUUUCCUCAAGUCGCUUUGUAUUCUUUUAGGUUUUAUAUGAUGUCACUUGAAACGAUAAGAUAAAAAAAAGGAAGUGAAGGAAAAGAUGUUAUAGCGCCUUGACUCGCAAUCAAGGAAUGUAGGAUGUUGGACGGGUGAAGAAAAAGAAAAUAAUACAUAUUAGUAAUAGUUAUAAAAAACUAUUUAUAAGUUAGUAGUAUUCUAAGUUGAGGUUAGCGUAGCUAAGAAGACGUAGCACCAAUGUUGAGGUUAGUCUAGACUAAGUAGGCAUAACAUUUAAGUUCAGGUUAGUUAGCCUAUGUAGGUGUAAGAUCUAAGUUGAAGUUAGUUAGACUAAGUAGUUGUAGCAUCAAAGUUGAGGUUAGUUAGCUUAAGUAGGUUUAACAUCUUAGUCGAAGUUAGUUAGAUUAAGUAGUUGUAGCAUUCAAGUUGAGUUAGUUAGGCACGGUAACUACAAAACCUACUUUGCUCCGGUGGAAAUAUUAUACUUACCUUUGAAAUAGCUCCGGUUCACGAACCAUAAGUAACAAACAUAUUUUAGCGAUUAAUCGUUUCAGGAUUCCGCCCUUUGUUUUUACCUGCACUACCCGAAUUAAUCCGUCUGAACCAGGAUGUACCUCAAUAAUUCUUCCAAGUAGCCAUCUCGUUGGAGGUAGAUUCUCAUCUUUUAUCAAAACCAAAUCAUUUAUUUUAAUAUUUUCAAUUUUUCUAUUCCACUUUGGUCUUUGUUGGAGACGGUUCAAAUACUCCUUAUUCCAUCUGUGCCAAAAAAAUUUGAAGUAGGAAUUGCAAAUGUUGCCAUCGAUCCAUACGAUUAACUUUCAAAUCCAAUACUGAAGAAUCCGGUGGUGUGAUCAAAUUAUCACUAUUUAAAAAAUGUGCUGGUGUGAGUUCGGUUAAAUUAUUUGGAUGACUACUUAUUUCGCAUAAUGGUCUCGAGUUGAGGCAUGCUUCAAUCUGUGAUAUUAAUGUUGAGAAUUCCUCAUAAGUUAAUAUACUGUUGCCAACAGUUUUUUUAAGUGCAGUUUUGUUCAACGCACACCUGCCUCCCAUAAACCACCAAAACGUAGGGACCCAGGGGGGAUAAAAUUAAAUAUAACACCUGAUUCAAAAGCGCCAGUAAUAUCUAUGUUGAGUUGAUUCAGCAUUAGAUGAUGAUUUUUUAAAAUGAUUUUGUUGGCCGCAACAAAAUCAUUUUAAAAAAUCGGUACGCUACGAUGAACCCAUCUGCUUUCAAAUCGGUGACUAUUUCUAGAUGAAUAGCCUUGAUUACCAUACAUACGAAUAAAGCUAGGUAUGACUUAUAUUUUUUUGGACUUUUUCCUUUGUGUGUUUUCAUUUCGAAUGGACCACAAUAAUCCAAACCCGUGUGACUAAAUGGACGACUUUUUCUUACACGCGGUAUUGGUAGACUUGCCAUAAGUUGUUUUUGAGCGGGUGCCUCCCACCUAUAACAAGUUAUACACUUAUAUAUGUCAUGUCGUAUGGUGUUUCUUGCAUUUAAGAGCCAGUAGAUGCUAUUUAAGUAAUUUAACAUGAGUUGAGUACCCCCGUGCAAUGUUUCCUUAUGAAUUUUAUCAAUUAGUAGACAUGUAAAUCUAUUUCCAGGUAAAACAAUAGGAUGCCUCUGGUUAUAUGGUGAAAUUGCAUUAUGUAAACGACCAUCCACUCUAAUUAUAUCGUUGGUAUCGACA
Condylostylus longicornis is the source of this 2445-nucleotide long non-coding RNA. RefSeq lists it as uncharacterized. NCBI's taxonomy places the organism in Eukaryota, Metazoa, Arthropoda, Insecta, Diptera, Dolichopodidae. The transcript has 3 exons. The record is from RefSeq and is a predicted model, not a curated record.